RNA transcript from Frieseomelitta varia, 1296 nucleotides. It is a transcript of the gene named RNA-binding protein 1-like, with no coding region annotated. The record is from RefSeq and is a predicted model, not a curated record. The transcript is spliced from 8 exons. Lineage: Eukaryota; Metazoa; Arthropoda; Insecta; Hymenoptera; Apidae.
GUAGAAACAGUAUGCAGCAAUGCCAUCUUAGAAAGGAGGCCACGGAAGAAGAUUAACGCUACAUACGCCACCAUUUUGUGGGCAUUUCUACUUGUGCUGUUCGUCAGUGAGGUUCUGUGUAUUGCCAGACUAAAAAAUUUGCUUAAUACACUUCAAAUAAUGUCACGUUAUCGUGAGUGGGAUCCCUCAUGUAAGGUUUAUGUUGGAAAUUUAGGGAAUAGUGCUAGUAAACAUGAAAUUGAAAGUGCAUUCAGUAAAUAUGGCCCUCUAAGGAAUGUAUGGGUUGCCAGAAAGCCACCUGGAUUUGCUUUUGUAGAAUUUGAAGACCCACGUGAUGCAGAAGAUGCAGUCAGAGGUCUAGAUGGAACACGCUGUUGUGGAACCAGAGUGAGAGUAGAGAUGUCUUCAGGAAGAAGUAGACGUGGAGGUGGGAGGAGAUCAGGUCCAAGAUAUUCCAGGUCCAGAUCUUGCAGUCCUCGAAGGAGAUCACUGGGUCGUUAUCCAAGGUCCUGGUCAAGAAGUCCACGCAGAUCGCCGAUAAGCCGAUAUUCCAGAUUCUACCAGCGUCAGCUCCUAGCUCUGCUCGUCUCCCCGCCACUACUACUACUACUGCUACUACUACUACUACAGCCACCGUGAAAAAAAGUCUAGCAAUCAAAACUGAACAAAAAAAAAGCCUGCCUGCCCACUAACUUCCCAACCAGUCACCAUCAGUCACCACCAGUCACCGGUAGGAGCCAAGUCGUCCGUCAGUUGACAGUCCGAUGCUGUCCGUCAGUCCGUCUGUUCCCCUUCAAAAAGACUUCUUCGGGCUACCUCAACCUCUAGCGGCUAGGAGCAUCGUGAAUCCAUCGAACAGCCGACGCGAUAUGAACGAAUACUUCUGUCAAAAUCUCGGCGCGUCAGUCCGUCCGUCCGUCCCAACUUCUACUACUACUACUACUACUACUACUGCUACUACUACUACUACUACUACUACUCGUCAACCAUCACGUUAAACUUAGCCGACAACGCGACCGCCACUUCUCUUCGACUGAGCAAAGCAAAAUGAUCACCACCUACACACCAUCCCACCACCACCCAACCAAGUACCACCACCACCAACCACCACUACAUGUUCACAGUUGUCUGGUCAAAGUCCCGUAGCCCUCGCAGGAGAUCGUUGAGCCGUAGCCGCAGCCGAGACCGCCGUUCUCGUUCGGAUUCCCGUGACAGACGUUAGGUGCUAAAAGUGAGAGAACGGACCGACUAAGUGUGCCGGAUGGAAGACAAAAAACCGAUUUUAUAUGUACAUAA